This is a long non-coding RNA of Peromyscus californicus insignis, 4653 nucleotides long. RefSeq lists it as uncharacterized. The record is from RefSeq and is a predicted model, not a curated record. The transcript has 2 exons. Lineage: Eukaryota; Metazoa; Chordata; Mammalia; Rodentia; Cricetidae.
AGCCAAGAACCAAGUGACGUUCCAGGGAAAAAUUCAAUACAAAUUGGGUAAUUCAUUCAUUUCUAACAGUGUUAGAUCAAGGAGGUGGUUUUAAAACAGAAAAUUUGGCUUUGUAUUUAAAAAAAAAAAAAAAAAAAAGACGUCCUUGGAAAAUUUGACUACUAACUUUAAACCCAAAUGUCCUUGUUCAUAUAUAUGUAUAUGUACUUGUAUAUACAUAUAUGUGUGUAUAUUAUAUCAUUUCUCUUGGGAUUUUGGGUCAUUUUUAACAACUGCAUCUUUUUUACUCAUUCAUUAACCCUUUUCCAAAAUAAACAUUUGAUGUUGGGAAUAUGGUAUUGCCAAUCAAUCCAAAAUCCUAGACCUAACACUUGUUGAUUUUUAAUACAGAAUCUGGUUAGCCAUGGUAUUUUGACUGACUUUCAGACUAACAGUGUUAAGAUAUUUGUAUAUUUUUUGUUUGCAUGUUAAUGCUGUAGUGUUUACUGGGAGCUGUGAACGUGAUCUAAUUGUAAGAGGCGAGUCCUGGCGCUGCCUUCAGCAUGUCUUCUGAAGUCACGAAUUCUCUCUGCCAGUGAACUAUGACAGAUCGUAAUUUCAUGAUGAUCCUUCAGGAGUGCUUUAUUUAAAUGCUAAGGAACUUAGGCACUAGAGUUCACUUACUGUGGAAUUGAAGUCUGUACUUAGAACUUGUCAGUUGAAGAUAACUGAGGCAAGUGCUGAUAAACUGCUAGUCUGUCUGUCUCUGUCUCUUUCUGGCACUUUGAGUGCUUCUAAGGAGUAGAACUGUUAGAGCACAACACCUUUCUCUGUUCCUGGUGCCUUAGAGUUCAACUCCUGCUUCCGUGUCACUGUCGCCUUUCCUGGGGCUUACUGCCACUACCUGCCUGCUUUGUGCAAGUGGUGGGCAGGUAAGCUUUGCUGUUUGCUUUUUAAAUUUUUAUUUCUGAAAGACUGCUCUAGUCUGAAUGUGGUUUUCAGAUAUUAGUAUUCUAUAUUUUUAGUGUUGAUUUAAAUAAUUCUUAAACUUAAAAAUAGAUUCUAGGCCAGGUGGGGUGGCGAAUGCCUUUAAUCCCAGCAUUUGGGGGGGCAAAGGCAAACAGAUCUCUGUGGGUUCCAGGUCUGCCUGGUCUUACAGAGUGAAUUCCAGGACAGCCAGGGCUUUUUUAAGAAAGAAAGAAAGAAAAGCUUCUAGUAUCUGAGGCACAUUUGAAGCAAUGGAAUGAACUGAUGUCAUCCUCAUCCCAGCAGCUCAGUAAAGUUGGGGGCUUCCUUUCUGUGCUUCUGUAUUUGGGAAAGAGGGAUUUUAGAUGAUGAGGCCUGAGCUAAAGAGCAUAGUGGAUGCUCAGGCUGUUCAGUCUCUGUACCUCAGUUGGGACUUUGAUGCCUCAUUUGUUUCUUAAUAUUGUGUAAAUAGUCUUGUGUGGAAGUAGGGAUCAGGUAUUUGUGAGAAGUGGUUUUAUUGUUGAGACGAAGGCAAAUAGAGCCUCUUAACUAAGAUAUUAAAUAACACCUAUAAUAUAUUUGCUUUGGUCAUGAAAUGAAGCCCUUUUUUUUCUGUUUGCCUAAAGCUCGUUGGGAUAAUAGGAUUCAUCACAAAUUGCAGCUGCUAAAACUAAGAUUGAAAUCUCAUCUGGCCUAGAACAUUUUUCUUCAGGCAUUCAGCAGCCUUCAGAAAGAAUUAUCUUAAUUUUGACCUAAUUUCAUUGUUCUAAUAUACUAUGUGUUUCUUACUCAAUAAACAAGCAGAAUUUUUGUCCUGCUUUGUCUAGGUAUUAAAGAUGAGAAGUUGGAUCCACUGAGUUAGUAUGUUUCCUUGAAAAAAAAAGUGAUUAAACUUAAGUUUAAGCCUUCUUCUGUAUCGUAACUUUUUCAUAAAAGUAACUUAAAAUCGUAAAACAGUUGAAAAUAUCUUUAGACACAGUGGUCGUGCAAAUUAUUACAUGUACAUGAACUUGUAAAAUAGGGAUUUUUCAAUAAAUAAUAACAUUGACUGCUUUUAAAGGUACAUUUCUAAGGCCAGGUUCAGUGACAUGAGUACUUACAGUCUUAGUUACUGGGAGGCUAGGACAAGAGGAUCGCUUGAGCUCAGGAGUUAAUGGCCAGCUUUGGCAAUAGGAAGAGUUCCUUCUUAGAGGGUGGGUGGGUAGAAUGGGUUACCAAGAGGUUUUUUUUUUUUUUUUUUUAACCUUUAGCAAAAUACUGCUUGCUACUCAAAUAAACCAGUCUGGGGCAGGAAAGGUAGCUAGGUUGGUAAAUGCUUGCUUUGUGAGAAUAGGACCUGAGUUCAAUCCCUAGAACCUCUGUUUAAAAAGCGAGCAAGGGCCAGGCAUGGUGUGGCACACGCCCUGAUUCCCAGCACUUAGACAUAGAAGCAAGCAGAUUUCUGUGAGUUUGAGGCCAACCUCAACAUAGUGAGACUGAAACCGUGUCUCAACAACAGUGCUAGCAAGCUGUAAUGUUUGCUUGUAAGCCCAGCCCUAGCUAGCAGCGUGGAGAUAGGCAAAACCUUGGGACUUCCUGGCCAGCCGGAUUAAGCCUAAUCAGUGCACUCCAUGUCCCAGAGGAAGACCCCAGCUCCAAAAGGCAAAGACAUCAGAGGAACAACCAACAAGAUUAACUCCUGACCACCACACACACACAGAUGCCCAAUAAGCUAUGCCACUAUACAAAAUACAGACAGGAAGGUGGACUUAGACUUCUUACACAUCUGUGAAAUUAGUGUCCAUAACAGAAAGCUCAGAAAAUACAUCUACCUAAGGGUGGCAUGAAAUAAGCAUGAGGGAGUUAGUCUUAGACCCUCUGCCUCUCACAAUAUGUAGGUUGUUAGUGAUUUCAAACUCUAAGUAAUAGAGUGUAUAAAACCAUAGACUUAGUUUCUGCUAUUACAGCUUUUGAUUUCAUGGAAUCUUCCCAUAAUGGUAACACCAUGUUAUUUCUCUCUGCUCAAAAAUUAUAGAAAGUGGCUGGGGGUGGUGGCACAUGCUUUUAAUCACAGCACGUAGGAGGCAGGAGGGUGUAUCUCUAUUAGGUUGCGGACUGCCAGGGCUUUAUAGUGACCCUCAAAAUGUAGAAGAUACUCAGAGUAUACAUUAUAACUUUUUUUUUUCCUUUCGGUCAUAAUCUCAGAUGCUUGCAUGUCAAUGAAUUCAGUUUCAUAAAUCUUCAGCAAGCAGGCCUCCAUCAUAAAGGUUCUCUUCUGGAAAGAUCCUCUAAAUGUUUACUGGUAUAUUUUUUAUAGUUUUGGGUUUUGUGGGAGUUUCUGUUUUGGUUUAGUUUUUUGUUUCUUGGCAGUUGCUUUAAGCGUAUGUUUCUUUCAUAGAAAUUACAGAAAGUUCUAGCCCCUCCCUGAGAGUGUUCAAGUGUUCUUCCAAACCUUGCUUAUUUAGCUAGUAUGUGCUUCUCCUGUAGUAGGUGGAUCUCUGGUCUGAUAAAUUUGCAUUUAGGCCUUUCAGUCACUGCUUUGCAAAGCUUGCAAAGCCAAUCGAGACCAAGAGACAAGGAUUUUCCCUAAUGUCGCUUAGAUUUUGUUUCCAAUGCUGAAGUGCCCCAAGAUUGAACUUUUUGCUUCUAUUUGUGUAGCAGAGAGAAGAUAAAAGCUUCUCGCUCUGAACCCUUGACAAUCCAUUUUGCUUGGUAUUCUACAACUUUAUGUGAUUCUCAGAAAAAUACUUGUUUAUGACCUAGAAAGGGCAAAGAAAAAGGAAAUAGUUUAUGGAUAUUUAGAUUCCGUUAAUUCUGCUGUACCCACAAGUAGCUGAGACCGUAGAAUGACAAGUCUGAAGGUGGCCUUGGCCUUCAGAGACUUGAAGUGUUUUCCAUCACAUUAACCAGCCUGUGUCAGUGGUCCCCAGCAGCUACAGGGCUUUGCCAUGUGUAGCUUAACCUCUUCUGACAUCACCAACUGCUGCCAGGACCACAGCUGAUAAUUCAGCAACUUAACCCAAAACAGGGAAGGGAAGACCUUGCGAUACCUGGAGAGACUGACCUACCUUGAAUACACUCUGUCCAGAGAAGACCAGGGAACUGAAUCUUCGCUGAAAUCUGGGAUUUCCAUCGGCUUUUUUCAUUGUGGACAGUAAAGCUGGAGAGAUUGACAAUCCAAGAAAUGAAGAUGACAGUGCAAGAGACCUCUCAAGGCUUGCUGGGCCUGCUAACCUUCUGCUCAGGUUCUGUGAUGACUGUCAGAAGGCCUGGAAUACUGCCAGUGUUGCUGAGCCUCAGCGCUACGUAAUGGCCGCCAUCUGCCAGUUGGGAUGGAUUCCUUUGUAACAGGAACAGAAGAGGUUCGUCCCUCGUUUUAACGGGUGAACUAGAAGAGCCACCCAGACUGCAGGAUUUUCAAACCAAACCAAAGACUAAAGCACACUGCAGAAGAGUCCUUCGGAGUGAUGAGAGAGUGAAUGUUGGCGACCUACCACAGUGUUUCUCCUUCUGGAGUACCUCAGAGAACAGCUCAUUGGAGGAUUAGAUACCAUUGCUCUGUCUAGCUGAAGAACUAAAUCUGGAUUGGACUGCUUUAUUCUACCAGGAAUAUUGUUAGGCUCAUCUUCAACCAAUCCCUAGACAAUUGUAACCAGAGACUGACCGUCCACAAUGAGAGACUUCUGACCUAGAACUUCCCUGUUAUUAAAGAAAUCAAGUUGUCUUGUA